RNAcentral lists this ribosomal RNA (764 nucleotides) under uncultured bacterium. Its description in RNAcentral is "bacterial SSU rRNA". It matches the Rfam family "Bacterial small subunit ribosomal RNA", at positions 37 to 796 of the family's 1533-position model. The record is from RNAcentral.
UGGCGGCAGGCCUAACACAUGCAAGUCGAGCGGAUGAAGGGAGCUUGCUCCUGGAUUCAGCGGCGGACGGGUGAGUAAUGCCUAGGAAUCUGCCUGGUAGUGGGGGAUAACGUCCGGAAACGGGCGCUAAUACCGCAUACGUCCUGAGGGAGAAAGUGGGGGAUCUUCGGACCUCACGCUAUCAGAUGAGCCUAGGUCGGAUUAGCUAGUUGGUUGGGUAAAGGCCUACCAAGGCGACGAUCCGUAGCUGGUCUGAGAGGAUGAUCAGUCACACUGGAACUGAGACACGGUCCAGACUCCUACGGGAGGCAGCAGUGGGGAAUAUUGGACAAUGGGCGAAAGCCUGAUCCAGCCAUGCCGCGUGUGUGAAGAAGGUCUUCGGAUUGUAAAGCACUUUAAGUUGGGAGGAAGGGCAGUAAGUUAAUACCUUGCUGUUUUGACGUUACCAACAGAAUAAGCACCGGCUAACUUCGUGCCAGCAGCCGCGGUAAUACGAAGGGUGCAAGCGUUAAUCGGAAUUACUGGGCGUAAAGCGCGCGUAGGUGGUUCAGCAAGUUGGAUGUGAAAUCCCCGGGCUCAACCUGGGAACUGCAUCCAAAACUACUGAGCUAGAGUACGGUAGAGGGUGGUGGAAUUUCCUGUGUAGCGGUGAAAUGCGUAGAUAUAGGAAGGAACACCAGUGGCGAAGGCGACCACCUGGACUGAUACUGACACUGAGGUGGGAAAGCGUGGGGAGCAAACAGGAUUAGAUACCCUGGUAGUCC